Molecule: long non-coding RNA, 606 nt
Organism: Hyla sarda
Lineage: Eukaryota; Metazoa; Chordata; Amphibia; Anura; Hylidae
Exons: 3
Source: RefSeq, a predicted model, not a curated record
GUGAGAGUGAGCAGCCAGAGGGUAAGAGGUGCCAUGAGAUGUCAUGAGAUUAAAGAGCUCUUGGAAAAGAUGUCACAGAUAAUGCAGUUGGGAAAAGGAAUCCUCUGGAAUCGUAUUGGCAGUUCUGUGUAAGCCCUGCUUUUUAGAAGAGAAGGAUUUAGUGAUGAUUAUGCGAACAUAGAAGAAAAAGAAAACGGAGCACUCACAUUACUGCUGGAGGCCUUCAAUUCAGGCUUAAUUCACGGAGGUCUGAACAUUGGCAACCUCUGCAGGGAGACGCAGAUGGAAUAAGGGGGAAGCUCGGACGGCGGCCACGGUCCCGUAUCGCGCCAAUGUGUGCUUCUUCAGGCAGGAUAAUCGUCAUUCCACUCCUCAAUGUUUUUUAACCAUUGCUGUGAAUGAACAAAAAAGGCAAAACAGAAAAUGAUCUGCAAUGACAUAGAUCGAGGUUUCCAGAUGGAGAUAAUGGCACAGCCCCAUAUGAAUGUCCACAAUCUGAGACACUGUGCUAUAGAACAAAGUCGUUCCCAGCCUCUCCUAAUGGUGUGACAGGGUACCUUAGGCAUUUCAGAAAGCAGCUGGCAAGCGCCACCAACAGCAGGUGAA